AGAACGAACGCUGGCGGCAGGCCUAAUACAUGCAAGUCGAACGAUGUAGCAAUACAUAGUGGCGCACGGGUGAGUAACGCGUGGGAAUCUGCCCAUUAGUACGGAAUAACUGCGGGAAACUGCAGCUAAUACCGUAUACGCCCUUCGGGGGAAAGAUUUAUCGCUAAUGGAUGAGCCCGCGUAAGAUUAGCUAGUUGGUGGGGUAAAAGCCUACCAAGGCUACGAUCUUUAGCUGGUCUGAGAGGACGACCAGCCACACUGGAACUGAGACACGGUCCAGACUCCUACGGGAGGCAGCAGUAGGGAAUAUUGGACAAUGGGGGAAACCCUGAUCCAGCCAUGCCGCGUGAGUGAUGAAGGCCUUAGGGUUGUAAAGCUCUUUUACCAGGGAAGAUAAUGACGGUACCUGGAGAAUAGUUCCGGCUAACUUCGCGCCAGCAGCCGC
Molecule: ribosomal RNA, 445 nt
Filed under: uncultured bacterium
Lineage: Bacteria
Description: SSU rRNA
Rfam family: Bacterial small subunit ribosomal RNA
Source: RNAcentral